AUGCAAGGCCAGGCAGAGUCUAUCCUGAGCCCCCAGCUGCGACACAGAAAUACAGGCAGACACCCAUGUACGGCACCUCGUCUCAGCCAGAAGAAUUGUGGGAGCUUCGGUGGAAAUGAGGAAUGGAAAUGGAGCUUCCAGGGAUGUGUGGCUAUGGAGGAAGAAGAAGAAUUUAACUUCCUCUCCACUGCACUUGUGCUUUCUGCAUCUUCCAUCCUGCUUAUGAAAUCAGGCUGUUUUCAUAAUGUAAGUGAAGUAGGCCUCGUCUAUAUUACAUCAACAGCCACCAUAUUUCUUUGGGCAAUUGAAGUUUUGAAAAAAAAAUGACAAAUGACUGAUUACAGGGUCUGGAAACAGGGGUGAAAGUAACUUACAGGAUUUACUAGU
This 387-nucleotide long non-coding RNA is filed under the name Chrysemys picta bellii (western painted turtle). RNAcentral describes it as "lncRNA (ENSCPBG00000020346.1)". The record is from RNAcentral. Lineage: Eukaryota; Metazoa; Chordata; Testudines; Emydidae.